GGGGAUGAAUUUGGUAUCGACAAGAUGAGAAAGAUUAAGUUAAGUAUGUCGCAGGACUGUACUGCGUUAAAAACGGUAAUUAAAUUUAAAUGCAGACAGAAAUAAUUCUGUUCUAGCACAAGCCGCUUAAGGUUCUUAGUGCUAGUGUUUCGGUUAUUGUUUCCACGAAAUAAUCGAGGCAUAAGAUUAAGUGGAAUAUGUAAUUAAAAUCGUUUGGUGUUUUAGUUAAAGAAUUUUUGCCAAAUAGUUUAAUCCGGUUUUGUUGGUGGGGCUUGGUUAAAUGAAACUUCACAAUCAACUAAACAUAUAGAAGUAUUUAACACUUACAUUUUGGACGCGGGUUCGACCCCCGCCAUCUCCACCA
Molecule: transfer-messenger RNA, 364 nt
Filed under: pig gut metagenome
Rfam family: transfer-messenger RNA
About the family: Bacterial tmRNA, also known as 10Sa RNA or SsrA, is named for its dual tRNA and mRNA-like properties. Its role is to liberate the mRNA from a stalled ribosome. To accomplish this part of the tmRNA is used as a reading frame that ends in a translation stop signal.
Source: RNAcentral